RNAcentral lists this ribosomal RNA (610 nucleotides) under uncultured bacterium. Its description in RNAcentral is "bacterial SSU rRNA". It matches the Rfam family "Bacterial small subunit ribosomal RNA", at positions 8 to 613 of the family's 1533-position model. The record is from RNAcentral.
AGAGUUUGAUCAUGGCUCAGAUUGAACGCUGGCGGAAUGCUUUACGCAUGCAAGUCGAGCGGCAGCACGGGGGCAACCCUGGUGGCGAGCGGCGAACGGGUGAGUAAUACAUCGGAACAUGCCCAGUCGUGGGGGAUAACACUUCGAAAGAAGUGCUAAUACCGCAUACGUCCUGAGGGAGAAAGCGGGGGAUCGCAAGACCUCGCGCGAUUGGAGUGGCCGAUGUCAGAUUAGCUAGUUGGUGGGGUAAAGGCCUACCAAGGCAACGAUCUGUAGCUGGUCUGAGAGGAUGAUCAGCCACACUGGGACUGAGACACGGCCCAGACUCCUACGGGAGGCAGCAGUGGGGAAUUUUGGACAAUGGGGGCAACCCUGAUCCAGCCAUUCCGCGUGAGUGAAGAAGGCCUUCGGGUUGUAAAGCUCUUUCGGCAGGAACGAAACGGUGAGCUCUAACAUAGCUUGCUAAUGACGGUACCUGAAGAAGAAGCACCGGCUAACUACGUGCCAGCAGCCGCGGUAAUACGUAGGGUGCGAGCGUUAAUCGGAAUUACUGGGCGUAAAGCGUGCGCAGGCGGUUGUGUAAGACAGGUGUGAAAUCCCCGGGCUUAAC